This 468-nucleotide ribosomal RNA is filed under the name uncultured bacterium. RNAcentral's name for it is "bacterial SSU rRNA". It matches the Rfam family "Bacterial small subunit ribosomal RNA", at positions 26 to 507 of the family's 1533-position model. The record is from RNAcentral.
AGGACGAACGCUGGCGGCGUGCUUAACACAUGCAAGUCGAGCGAUGAAGUUUCUUCGGAAAUGGGAUUAGCGGCGAACGGGUGAGGAACACGUGAAGAAUCUGCCCUCCACUUUGGGAUAACACCGGGAAACCGGUGCUAAUACCGAAUAUUGAAACAUAAGUGGCAUCACUGAGUUUUGAAAGAAUUUCGGUGGAGGAUGACUUCGCGGCCUAUCAGCUAGUUGGUGAGGUAAUGGCUCACCAAGGCAACGACGGGUAGCCGGCCUGAGAGGGCGACCGGCCACACUGGGACUGAGACACGGCCCAGACUCCUACGGGAGGCAGCAGUGGGGAAUAUUGGGCAAUGGAGGAAACUCUGACCCAGCGACGCCGCGUGCGGGAUGAAGGCCUUCGGGUUGUAAACCGCUUUCAGUAGGGAAGAAGCGAAGGUGACGGUACCUACAAAAGAAGCACCGGCUAACUAUGUG